This 460-nucleotide ribosomal RNA is filed under the name uncultured bacterium. Its description in RNAcentral is "partial 16S ribosomal RNA". It matches the Rfam family "Bacterial small subunit ribosomal RNA", at positions 338 to 795 of the family's 1533-position model. The record is from RNAcentral.
CCUACGGGGGGCUGCAGUGAGGAAUAUUGGUCAAUGGACGCAAGUCUGAACCAGCCAUGCCGCGUGCAGGAAGACGGCUCUAUGAGUUGUAAACUGCUUUUGUACGAGGGUAAACGCAGAUACGCGUAUCUGUCUGAAAGUAUCGUACGAAUAAGGAUCGGCUAACUCCGGGCCAGCAGCCGCGGUAAUCCGGAGGAUUCAAGCGUUAGCCGGAUUUAUUGGGUUUAAAGGGUGCGUAGGCGGUCGGCUAAGUUAGAGGUGAAAUCCCGAGGCUCAAAUUAGGAAUUGCCUCUGAUCCUGUUAGGCUAGAGAGUAGUGGCGGUAGGCGGAAUGUAUGGUGUAGCGGUGAAAUGCGUAGAGAUCAUAAAGAACACCGAUUGCGAAGGCAGCUUACCAGGCUACUUCUGACGUUGAGGCACGAAAGCGUGGGGAGCAAACAGGAGUAGAUACCCGGGUAGUC